RNAcentral lists this ribosomal RNA (253 nucleotides) under uncultured bacterium. Its description in RNAcentral is "partial 16S ribosomal RNA". It matches the Rfam family "Bacterial small subunit ribosomal RNA", at positions 524 to 776 of the family's 1533-position model. The record is from RNAcentral.
UACGGAGGGCGCAAUCGUUGUUCGGAAUCAUUGGGCGUAAAGCGCGUGUAGGCGGCUUGGCAUGUCGGAUGUGAAAUCACGGGGCUCAACCCCGGAACUGCACUCGAAACUGCCUCGCUAGAGUCCCGGAGAGGAGGGCGGAAUUCCCGGUGUAGAGGUGAAAUUCGUAGAUAUCGGGAGGAACACCAGUGGCGAAGGCGGCCCUCUGGACGGUGACUGACGCUGAGAUGCGAAAGCGUGGGGAGAAAACAGG